CUAGUUUUCUUUGGUUGUCUGAUUAUGUUUCGUCGACUCUGCAGAGGGCGUUGUCGCUGGAGGUAGUGCUGUUGCUGUUGAAGCAGCGCUUUGCCCAAUUGACACCAUCAAAACUAGACUUCAGGCAAGAUUAAAUCCUUGUGUGCUCAAUAAAUCCUUUUGUUUUCCUGUCCUCCACGAACUUGGAGUGUAUAUUGAUAGUUGGGAAGCUGUUGCAACAGACAAUGUUGUUUAGCUCUUAUUGCUGCAACUCUAGUGACUGGAAAUGAAUUUUCUUUUGAUGAAAAUUGGGUUGUUUGCUGCCACCCACCGAGAAGCACAUAUUUAUCUGGAAUACUGCCUUUUAUUGCCGUUUUUCUCCCCAUUUUACUUGCAUGACCAGACAUUAAAGCAAUGGUAGUUUCAGACAAAUACAACUUUGUUUGAUUACAUCUGUUUGCUUCAAGUUUCUUAACUCUUGAAGCCUUUCUAUGUCAAUAAUCUCAA
RNAcentral lists this long non-coding RNA (486 nucleotides) under Eucalyptus grandis. RNAcentral describes it as "long non-coding RNA (EGRA_LNC003894)". Lineage: Eukaryota; Viridiplantae; Streptophyta; Magnoliopsida; Myrtales; Myrtaceae. The record is from RNAcentral.